ACGCUGGCGGCGUGCCUAACACAUGCAAGUCGAACGGGGUUAGGGGGGUUCGCCCCCCUGACUCAGUGGCGGACGGGUGAGUAACGCGUGAACAAUCUGCCUUUUGCUGGGGGAUAACUGCUAGAAAUAGCAGCUAAUACCGCAUAUGACCACAGCACCGCAUGGUGCCGGGGUGAAAGAGUUUGUAUCGGCAAAAGAUGAGUUUGCGUCCCAUUAGUUAGUUGGUGAGGUAACGGCCCACCAAGACUGCGAUGGGUAACCGACCUGAGAGGGUAAUCGGUCACACUGGAACUGAGAUACGGACCAGACUCCUACGGGAGGCAGCAGUGGGGAAUAUUGGGCAAUGGAGGCAACUCUGACCCAGCAACGCCGCGUGAAGGAUGAAGGUCUUCGGAUUGUAAACUUCUGUUGUAAGGGAAGAAAAAAAUGACGGUACCUUACUAGAAAGCACCGGCAAACUAUGUGCCAGCAGCCGCGGUAAUACAUAGGGUGCAAGCGUUAUCCGGAAUCACUGGGCGUAAAGAGAGCGUAGGCGGUUUGUUAAGUUGAGUGUGAAAUCCUUGGGCUUAACUCAAGAAUUGCACUUGAUACUGGCAAACUAGAGUGUUGGAGAGGUAAGUGGAAUUCCUAGUGUAGCGGUAAAAUGCGUAGAUAUUAGGAAGAACAUCGGAGGCGAAGGCGGCUUACUGGACAACAACUGACGCUGAGGUUCGAAAGCGUGGGGAUCAAACAGGAUUAGAUACCCUGGUAGUCCACGCCCUAAACGAUGGAUACUAAAUGUGGGACAGUCAACUGUUCCGUAUUGAAGCAAACGCGAUAAGUAUCCCGCCUGGGUAGUACGUUCGCAAGAAUGAAACUCAAAGGAAUUGACGGGACCCCGCACAAGCAGCGGAGCAUGUGGUUUAAUUCGUCGCAACGCGAAGAACCUUACCAAGGUUUGACAUGUUAGUGCAUAGUAUAGAAAUGUAUGAAUUUGCAGUUUACUGCAACACUUUCACAGAUGGUGCAUGGUUGUCGUCAGCUCGUGUCGUGAGAUGUUGGGUUAAGUCCCGCAACGAGCGCAACCCCUGUAUUUAGUUGCCAGCAUUUAGUUGGGCACUCUAAAUAGACUGCCAUAGAUAAUAUGGAGGAAGAUGGGGAUGACGUCAAAUCAUCAUGCCUCUUACACCUUGGGCUACACACGCGCUACAAUGGGCGAAACAAAGAGAUGCAAGAUAGUAAUAUGGAGCAAAACUCAUAAAAUCGCCCCCAAUUCAGAUUGUGGGCUGCAACCCGCCCACAUGAAGUCGGAGUUGCUAGUAAUCGCGGAUCAGCACGCCGCGGUGAAUGCGUUCUCGGGGUUUGUACACACCGCCCGUCAAGGCAUGGGAGUUGGGGGGACCCGAAGUCGGUGAGUUAACCUGCGCAAGCAGGAGGCAACCGCCUAAGGUAAAACCAAUGACUGGG
This 1446-nucleotide ribosomal RNA is filed under the name uncultured bacterium. RNAcentral describes it as "16S ribosomal RNA". It matches the Rfam family "Bacterial small subunit ribosomal RNA". The record is from RNAcentral.